GUGAGAGUUGAUGAGGCUCAGCGUCUCCAGAUAAAAGAAGGGACAGAGCUGUCGGUGCGGUGAGGUUUGAAAAGUUGCGGCGGCCCCGGCAGCUGCAGGGGGCGAGCGCGGAGCAAAGCCCGGGCCGCACCAGACGGGCCCUGAGUCUCCAGGGCUCCUCGUCCCCAUGCGCCAGCGUGUCUGAUGCUUCACUGGACCCGGGUCUCUUUCUCAAUGUCAUCUCACAGCCUCUGUCCCUUGGGUAGGGAAUCAGGCUUCUGAGCUAUCAUCUGCUUAGUACCGUCGUCCUCUGCUUUGGAAAAUAUUUGAAUUGUGGUCUGAUAGAAGACAUGAAAAAGUUAGAAUACUACUAGAUUCCAAAGGGAAAAAAAAAGUUUCUUCGUUUACAAGUAGCAUCUACUGAUGGGAAUUUCUUAAUUGUUAUCAUUUAAGAAAAUACAGAACCAGGUUUGGAUCCAUGAAAACGAAUUGGUCUUCAGCCUUUCAAACACUGGCCAAAAAAAUUUGCAAAAGAAAAACACAGGCAUCAGGUAGCAGGCACAGUAUUAAAAAUUCAGACAGUUUUACUGUCGGAUCUUAAAAUAUAUUAGAAGUGUGUGACUUUCAUAAAGGACGAGAGAGAAUCAACUUCAUGCUAUUUCGAUAGGUAUUUUCUAGAUAUGCCAGAUAAUUUUGUCUUAUUAUCUCACAGAUUACUUGUUUCAGCCAUACACCAUGGGGAAAAAAAUGGCAAGGGGUUUGAAUGAUCGUUUCCAGAGCAGUUUUUCGUAGCUACAGUAGUACUUCCAUUUUACAAAUUCUCUGUGUUAGUCAUUCACUCAUAUAUUUCAUUCACCAAACAUUUAUUAAGGCUCUUCUAUGUGCUGUGUACAGUGCUAGACUUGGGAGAAGAGGGAUAAGUGGUGAGAGGGACAUACAAAAUUGAAUUAGAAAAAUUCACAGUUUAGGCAACUGGAAAUGCUAGGAAGCAGUUGUAAACCACUAUGAUACAUUCUUGUCGUGAGACGCCACCAGGGCAGCCCCUGCUAAUGGCCGGGAGAGGUACACUGACCACAGCUGAGUUUCGGGGUUCAUCUGCGUGGUGGCCUUUGCUCUUUCAAGGCAGCCACUAUUGGUUCCAUUUACAACAGGAGGAGACCAACACUAAAAGUGCAGUGAUGAGCCUCAUGUCUCACAGUUAGUCAGGCUCCUAAUCCAAAAGCCACUGCUAUGACCUGCGCUUCCGGACAUUCUGCCAUUUGAUCCCUACAACCUCACUACCUGAAGGACUAUAUUUUGAUCAUUCUUAAUGGGCCAGCUUCAAACCCCGUCAAGUUUUGAAGAGGGCAGAUGAAGCUGAUGACAGCUCCAGUUCCAGCUAUGGGUGACCUGUCUGUCUGCCUUUUUUGAGCUGUGGAGUGAUCAGAGUCAUAUUCGCUGCCUGUGCAGUACCACAGGCCUGAUGAAAAUGAAAUGGCAACACCACACAGAUGGCGAAGCGUAGGUCUCACAAGCGUCCUGGCCACGAAGGUAUCUCUCCACUCUCCUCCGCAUCCAGUACAUCACCGCCAUGGGCUGAAUGUUUGUGUCCCGGCAAAUUUCUGUGUUGAAAUCUAAGCCCCAAGAUGAUGGUAUCAGAGAUGAGGGCUUUGGCAGGUGGUUAAGCCGUGAAGACAGAGGCCUGAUGAAAGGGGUUGGUGCCUUUAGAAAAGAGGCCUCAGAUAGCUGUCCCGUCCCUUCUACCAUGUGGGAAUGAAGAGAGACAGUAUCACCUGUGAACCAGAAGGUGGCGCUCACCAGACAUUGAAUCUGCUGAUGCAGUGUUCUCGGAUGUGAACCAGAAAAUCUGAGACGGGUCUUAGUUAAUUUGGAAAGUUUAUUUUGCCAAGGUUGAGGACGUGCUUGUGACACAGCCUCAGGAAAUCCUGAUGACAUGUGCCCAAGGUGGUCAGGGCACAGCUUGGUUUUAUACAUUUAGGGAGACAUGAGGCAUCAAUUAAUAUAUGUAAGAAACACUGGUUCGGUCUGGAAAGGCGGGAAAACUUGAAGCAAAGGCAGGAAGGCUGGAAGCAGGGAGGGAGCUUCCAGGCCACAGAUAGGUGAUACACAAAUGGUUACAUCCUUUUGAAUUUCUCAUUAGCCUUUCCAAAGGUGGCAAAUCAGAUAUGCAUCUAUCUCAGUGAGUAGAGGAAUGGCUUUGAAUAGAAUGGGAGGCAGGUUUGCCCUAAGCAGUUCCCGGCUUGAGUUUUCCUUAGUGAUUUUGGAGUCCCAAGAUAUUUUCCUUUCACAUGGACUUCCCAGCCUUUAGAACUGUCAGAGAUAAAUGUCUGUUGUUUAUAAGCCACCCAGUUUAUGGCAUUUUGUUAUAGCAGCCCAAACCAAAUAAGAAGACCGCCAGCCAGUUCUACCUAAACAGUCCCUCCAUGUGUCCACCAUCCUGAGUCCCCAUUACCACGCCUUGUCCAGACCCCAGCAUUUCUGUGACUUGAUGCAAUAUAAGUUUACUGCCUAAAUAACAGGUACAGGACUUUGUGUGGACAAAUGUGCUCUUUUCUCCUGGGGUAAUAUCUACGUACAAAUGACUGGGUCACGUGGUAGGUAUUUUUAACUUUUUAAAAAACUACCAAACUGUUUUCCAUAGUCUUUGCACCAUUUCACUUUCCCACCAGCAAUGAAUGAGUGUUCCAGUAACUCUGCAUUCUCAACAGCACUUGUUAUCAUCAGCACUUGUUAUCAUCACCUUAAAGAGUUUCAGCCAUUCUAAAGGUGUGUAGUGGUUUUCUCCCCACCUUUUAAUUUUCUUAAUAGUGCCCUUCAAAAAACAGAAGUUUUUAAUUUUGAUGAAAUCUAGUUUACCAAUUGUUUUCUUUUAUGGAUUGUGCUUUUUGUUGUUACAUGUAUGAAAUCUUUGCCUAACCCGAGAGUGCAAUAUUUUUUUUCCAUGUGUUCUUACAGAAGUCUUAUAUAUCUAUGUUUUACAUUUAGGUCUACGAUCAAUUUCAGUUAAUUUUCAUAUAGGGCCUAAGAUAUGGAUUCAGGUUCAUUUUCUGGCACAUGAACAUCCAUCUGUUCCAGCACCAUUUGGUGAAAAAAUGAUACUUUUCCAUUGAAUUACUUUUGCAUUUUUAUUGAAAAUAAGACAAAAUUCCAAAUACCAUAAUCCUGAAUGCUAAAAUCCCAAAAGAUCAAAGAUCCUAAAGUAUAAAUCCCUAAAGUCUAAAAUUCUGAAAAUCACAAUCACAGGAUAGGGUUUUUUUUCCUUUUCUUCUAUUUUUUUCACUAUUUUAAAUAGCAAAACAAUUCACUAUGCUAUAUAUUUCAUCGUUGCAUCAUUUCCAAAACUUGACGUAUAGGUUGUGCAGAGACGUUUAGAGAGUCCUAAUUUGUUUCAUGCAUUUUUUUGCAAAUGUGACUCCAUGAAAGUUCAUUAUCUCAAUGUUGAUUUUGUGUAUAAACAUUGUGUAUGUACAUGAAAACAUUGAAACCUCCUCAGUGAUGUCCUUUUUGUACACCUGCAUUUGUAAAAGACAACAUUUUUUGAGAUCUCAGCUCUUUGGGUGACUGCAUAUGUAGUGGUAAUCCAUUGUGGUUUUUGAUCAAUCUUGUCAAAAGACUUCGGUUUUUUAUCACAGUAUUUCAGAUGAGCACAUAUACAAAGCUGGUUGCACACAAUUACCAAUCAUAGUGAUAUGUGUUUACACAUUUUCCUUUUGACCUACUUCUUUAGGAAUACAGUUUAUCUGCUCAUAAAUGCUAUAUCUGUGCCAGGUAUAGUCGUAUACCUGAGUAUUUAUUCUUGCAAAAACAUGUACGCUAGUAUUGCUUCUUUUAUUGUGUAAAGCGGCCUAUGAAGUGUUCUGUUGUGUUUUUAUAUGUUUCUCAAAUAAAUCCCCC
RNAcentral lists this long non-coding RNA (3873 nucleotides) under Homo sapiens (human). Its description in RNAcentral is "HSALNT0372247". The record is from RNAcentral. Lineage: Eukaryota; Metazoa; Chordata; Mammalia; Primates; Hominidae.